Molecule: non-coding RNA, 72 nt
Organism: Desmophyllum pertusum
Lineage: Eukaryota; Metazoa; Cnidaria; Anthozoa; Scleractinia; Caryophylliidae
Source: the annotation of a GenBank genome assembly
UCUCCUGUAGCUCAGCGCUAGAGCGUCCGACCGGUGUGCGGAAGGUCAUGGAUUCGAUUACUCUUGGAAGAA